This 482-nucleotide ribosomal RNA is filed under the name uncultured bacterium. RNAcentral describes it as "partial 16S ribosomal RNA". It matches the Rfam family "Bacterial small subunit ribosomal RNA", at positions 28 to 523 of the family's 1533-position model. The record is from RNAcentral.
GACGAACGCUGGCGGCGUGCUUAACACAUGCAAGUCGAACGAUGAAACCUAGCUUGCUAGGUCGAUUAGUGGCGAACGGGUGAGUAACACGUGACUAACCUGCCCCUUUCUCUGGGAUAACGCUCCGAAAGGAGUGCUAAUACCGGAUACUCACACCGAGGCACAUGCCUUGGUGUGGAAAGUUUUUCGGAAAGGGAUGGAGUCGCGGCCUAUCAGCUUGUUGGUGAGGUAACAGCUCACCAAGGCGACGACGGGUAGCCGGCCUGAGAGGGCGAACGGCCACCCUGGGACUGAGACACGGCCCAGACUCCUACGGGAGGCAGCAGUGGGGAAUAUUGCACAAUGGGCGCAAGCCUGAUGCAGCGACGCCGCGUGAGGGAUGAAGGUCUUCGGAUUGUAAACCUCUUUCAGUAGGGACGAAGCGAAAGUGACGGUACCUAAAGAAGAAGCACCGGCUAACUACGUGCCAGCCGCCGCCGUAA